This 126-nucleotide small nucleolar RNA is filed under the name Trifolium pratense (red clover). Its description in RNAcentral is "snoRNA snoR77". It matches the Rfam family "Small nucleolar RNA snoR77". The record is from Rfam by way of RNAcentral. Lineage: Eukaryota; Viridiplantae; Streptophyta; Magnoliopsida; Fabales; Fabaceae.
AGGCAGCCUACUUGCUAAGAUUAAAUGGCAUGAAAGGUGUUUAACUACUCGUAAAUCAAAUGCUUUUGCUCUUCAGAUUUGCUGAGAUUUUUUCUCUGAAGCUGGUCUAGUAAGCUCAAGUACAUU